This 459-nucleotide ribosomal RNA is filed under the name uncultured bacterium. RNAcentral's name for it is "bacterial SSU rRNA". It matches the Rfam family "Bacterial small subunit ribosomal RNA", at positions 28 to 495 of the family's 1533-position model. The record is from RNAcentral.
GAUGAACGCUGGCGGCGUGCUUAACACAUGCAAGUCGAACGGGAUCCCAGGAGCUUGCUCCUGGGUGAGAGUGGCGAACGGGUGAGUAAUGCGUGACCGACCUGCCCCAUACACCGGAAUAGCUCCUGGAAACGGGUGGUAAUGCCGGAUGCUCCGACAUGACGCAUGUCGUGUCGGGAAAGAUUCAUCGGUAUGGGAUGGGGUCGCGUCCUAUCAGCUUGAUGGCGGGGUAACGGCCCACCAUGGCUUCGACGGGUAGCCGGCCUGAGAGGGCGACCGGCCACAUUGGGACUGAGAUACGGCCCAGACUCCUACGGGAGGCAGCAGUGGGGAAUAUUGCACAAUGGGCGCAAGCCUGAUGCAGCGACGCCGCGUGCGGGAUGACGGCCUUCGGGUUGUAAACCGCUUUUGACUGGGAGCAAGCCCUUCGGGGUGAGUGUACCUUUCGAAUAAGCACCG